GGAUUAGUGGCGAACGGGUGAGUAACACGUGGGCAAUCUGCCCUGCACUCUGGGACAAGCCCUGGAAACGGGGUCUAAUACCGGAUACUGACCCGUUUGGGCAUCCGAGCGGUUCGAAAGCUCCGGCGGUGCAGGAUGAGCCCGCGGCCUAUCAGCUUGUUGGUGAGGUAAUGGCUCACCAAGGCGACGACGGGUAGCCGGCCUGAGAGGGCGACCGGCCACACUGGGACUGAGACACGGCCCAGACUCCUACGGGAGGCAGCAGUGGGGAAUAUUGCACAAUGGGCGAAAGCCUGAUGCAGCGACGCCGCGUGAGGGAUGACGGCCUUCGGGUUGUAAACCUCUUUCAGCAGGGAAGAAGCGAAAGUGACGGUACCUGCAGAAGAAGCGCCGGCUAACUACGUGCCAGCAGCCGCGGUAAUACGUAGGGCGCAAGCGUUGUCCGGAAUUAUUGGGCGUAAAGAGCUCGUAGGCGGCUUGUCACGUCGGUUGUGAAAGCCCGGGGCUUAACCCCGGGUCUGCAGUCGAUACGGGCAGGCUAGAGUUCGGU
This 550-nucleotide ribosomal RNA is filed under the name Streptomyces sp. RNAcentral describes it as "bacterial SSU rRNA". It matches the Rfam family "Bacterial small subunit ribosomal RNA", at positions 89 to 652 of the family's 1533-position model. Lineage: Bacteria; Bacillati; Actinomycetota; Actinomycetes; Kitasatosporales; Streptomycetaceae. The record is from RNAcentral.